CACCCAGUUAGACAGCUAUGCAGCUGAACACAGCAUACCACAAGUCACCACAUGUGGAAGACACUUUCCUGGCUCCUCAUAUCCUCCUACACUGGUAACAAGAUAUUAUUCACACUGAAUGGAGACCCUGUGACUC
Molecule: long non-coding RNA, 136 nt
Filed under: Chloebia gouldiae (Gouldian finch)
Lineage: Eukaryota; Metazoa; Chordata; Aves; Passeriformes; Passeridae
Description: Erythrura gouldiae (Gouldian finch) lncRNA (ENSEGOG00005000297.1)
Source: RNAcentral